CACUGCAAAACUAGCCCGCCAUCCAGAACCAAUUAGCACACAUUUAUAAACCCUUAUUUACACAUGAUAAAAACCAAACCAUUUUCCCACCUUAGUACGGGAGACAAAAAAGGAACCAGGAGCAACAGAAUCAG
RNAcentral lists this ribosomal RNA (134 nucleotides) under Syngnathus acus (greater pipefish). RNAcentral describes it as "partial 16S ribosomal RNA". Lineage: Eukaryota; Metazoa; Chordata; Actinopteri; Syngnathiformes; Syngnathidae. The record is from RNAcentral.